UCUAGCAGCAGCCAACGGCAGCAGACAGCAAUCUCUUCUCAGUGGACACGAGAUCGAGACGGCGAGACUACUAUGUUUGCCAAUCUACACGUUGAAUACGCUUCUAUAGCUGUAACGUUAAACAUUUCUAGUUUUCACUAUGCACUGCAAGUAAUUUGCACAGUUAAGUUUCCGAGCUGCUGAUUGGUUGCUCCCUUCUUUAUGCUCCAGACAUGAAGGCACGCGGAUAUGUCUUGACGCUGUUGGACACUUCUCUCUGCUGAAAACAUCUUGCACAGGUCCAGACCGAUGCGCAGAGGCCCACUGGAGAAACGCGUCCCAAUGGUAAAACAAUGGUAGAAGUGUUUAAUGUUGACUUAAUUACGUUACUGAUUUUAGAAUUGUAAAAUGUUUCUAAGUGUUUUGGUUACAGCAAAGUCUUAAUUAAGGGUUGGAAUUCUAGUCAGAAGAUGAGUCACUGUCAAUGUAUUGUGUGUAAACUGAGGUGAAAAUAUAUUUUAUUAAAAUAUUUUGAGUUCA
Sardina pilchardus (European sardine) is the source of this 519-nucleotide long non-coding RNA. RefSeq lists it as uncharacterized. The record is from RefSeq and is a predicted model, not a curated record. Lineage: Eukaryota; Metazoa; Chordata; Actinopteri; Clupeiformes; Clupeidae. The transcript has 3 exons.